This 465-nucleotide ribosomal RNA is filed under the name uncultured Klebsiella sp. RNAcentral's name for it is "bacterial SSU rRNA". It matches the Rfam family "Bacterial small subunit ribosomal RNA", at positions 338 to 795 of the family's 1533-position model. Lineage: Bacteria; Pseudomonadati; Pseudomonadota; Gammaproteobacteria; Enterobacterales; Enterobacteriaceae. The record is from RNAcentral.
CCUAAGGGGGGCAGCAGUGGGGAAUAUUGCACAAUGGGCGCAAGCCUGAUGCAGCCAUGCCGCGUGUGUGAAGAAGGCCUUCGGGUUGUAAAGCACUUUCAGCGGGGAGGAAGGCGUUAAGGUUAAUAACCUUGUCGAUUGACGUUACCCGCAGAAGAAGCACCGGCUAACUCCGUGCCAGCAGCCGCGGUAAUACGGAGGGUGCAAGCGUUAAUCGGAAUUACUGGGCGUAAAGCGCACGCAGGCGGUCUGUCAAGUCGGAUGUGAAAUCCCCGGGCUCAACCUGGGAACUGCAUUCGAAACUGGCAGGCUAGAGUCUUGUAGAGGGGGGUAGAAUUCCAGGUGCAGCGGUGAAAUGCGUAGAGAUCUGGAGGAAUACCGGUGGCGAAGGCGGCCCCCUGGACAAAGACUGACGCUCAGGUGCGAAAGCGUGGGGAGCAAACAGGAUUAGAUACCCGAGUAGUC